GUCCCUCUCAAAUGAAAGCCGCACUACUACUUUGCAGCAUAAAACAUACUUCUAUUCAUCAUGGUGUUAAUGAAAACCCAAAUGACAAAUAGCACAAGGAAAAUGAGAGUGAAACAAGUUUUCUUGAAGAAAUCAACAUAACAAAGUUCUGGAAAGCAAAGAUUACAUGCCCUGUAGCUUCAAAAUAUAACCAAAUACUCGAGAGCUUUACCAUAACAUCAUCUCACAGCCACCAGCAGCCUCCCCCUCAUUUUUCACUUNNNNN
Molecule: long non-coding RNA, 265 nt
Filed under: Solanum tuberosum (potato)
Lineage: Eukaryota; Viridiplantae; Streptophyta; Magnoliopsida; Solanales; Solanaceae
Description: long non-coding RNA (STUB_LNC001080)
Source: RNAcentral